CCUACGGGAGGCAGCAGUGGGGAAUAUUGCACAAUGGGGGAAACCCUGAUGCAGCGACGCCGCGUGAGUGACGAUGUAUUUCGGUAUGUAAAGCUCUAUCAGCAGGGAAGAAGAAAGACGGUACCUGACUAAGAAGCACCGGCUAACUACGUGGCAGCAGCUGCGGUAAUACGUAGGGGGCCAGCGUUAUCCGGAUUUACUGGGUGUAAGGGGAGUGUAGACGGUUGUGCAAGUCUGAAGUGAAAGCCCAGGGCUCAAGGCGGGGACUGCUAUGGAUACUGUGGAGCUAGAGUGCUGAUGAGGUAAGUGGAAUUCCUGGUGUAGCGGUGAAAUGCAUAGAUAUUA
RNAcentral lists this ribosomal RNA (345 nucleotides) under uncultured bacterium. RNAcentral describes it as "partial 16S ribosomal RNA". It matches the Rfam family "Bacterial small subunit ribosomal RNA", at positions 338 to 699 of the family's 1533-position model. The record is from RNAcentral.